Long non-coding RNA from Cannabis sativa, 323 nucleotides. RefSeq lists it as uncharacterized. The transcript has 4 exons. Lineage: Eukaryota; Viridiplantae; Streptophyta; Magnoliopsida; Rosales; Cannabaceae. The record is from RefSeq and is a predicted model, not a curated record.
AUGGUGUUAUUUAAUGUGGCCUUCUUUGGAACUGGAAAUUUCGCGAGUAUUGCAAGCUUUGAGAUUUCAUCUGUUUAUCGAUUCAUUACCAUCUUCAAUCCAUUCUUGAUGGCAGCCUUGCUUAUCUUCAAGUUAUUCAUCCCAUUCAUGCUCGUCAUAUGUGUAUUCAGUGCGAUAACAAAGAUUAACAAACUUCCACGUUCGGGUUGUUAUUUCCUUGUCAUAUUAGUCUCGGAUGUGAUGACUUUACACUUCUUCUUCCUGGUUCGAAAUACAGGAAGUUGGAUGGAAAUUGGUAACAGUAUUAGCCAUUUUGGAAUAAU